UACGAAGGGGGCUAGCGUUGUUCGGAAUUACUGGGCGUAAAGCGCACGUAGGCGGAUAAUUAAGUCAGGGGUGAAAUCCCAGAGCUCAACUCUGGAACUGCCUUUGAUACUGGGUAUCUUGAGUAUGGAAGAGGUAAGUGGAAUUGCGAGUGUAGAGGUGAAAUUCGUAGAUAUUCGCAGGAACACCAGUGGCGAAGGCGGCUUACUGGUCCAUUCUGACGCUGAGGUGCGGAAAGCGUGGGGAGCAAACAGGG
This 254-nucleotide ribosomal RNA is filed under the name uncultured bacterium. Its description in RNAcentral is "partial 16S ribosomal RNA". It matches the Rfam family "Bacterial small subunit ribosomal RNA", at positions 524 to 777 of the family's 1533-position model. The record is from RNAcentral.